RNAcentral lists this long non-coding RNA (708 nucleotides) under Anas platyrhynchos platyrhynchos (common mallard). RNAcentral describes it as "lncRNA (ENSAPLG00000019343.1)". The record is from RNAcentral. Lineage: Eukaryota; Metazoa; Chordata; Aves; Anseriformes; Anatidae.
CCUGGGUCUGCAAACAUGGCUUUGUGUCUUCUCAGACUAAAAGAACAUAGCGGAGGUAAAACAGAGACCAGCAACUAAACUGGUUAAGAGCUUGGAGCAGCUACCUUGAGGUCUCUUCCAACCUAGAAAUUCUGUGAUUCUGUGUAAUUCUGUGAUAAGGAGAGGAAAGGGGUGCUCAGUUUAGAGCAGAGGGUGCAGGGGAUCCUGAGGGCUGAGGCUCAAGGAUCCUGAGGGCAGUGAAAAAGAAUACAGGACUACUGUUGGCUAAAUCCCACAGUACUGGAACCAGGGGACACUUAAGGAAAUUAGCAGGUGGGUUUGGAGUGGAUAAAAGUAAUCUCCUUAUUCAGGGAGCCUCUGUGAUGGGAGGACUGGCAGGUGUGUGGUAUCAGCAGAUAGACACAUUUGGGAAGAUAAAAGCUUGGAAUAACAGUCAACACCUGUCAGAUUAUCAGGCUGAUUCUUUCCAGGUGGGAGCAAUAGAGCAAAAAUGAUGAUUAAUGGGCUCACAACAAUGCUGUACAUAAAAUAUUCAGUCAAAACCCAAGAGGAGUAUGUCUUAAAAUGGUUCUGAGAAGCAUGUGAAUUGCUAAAAGAAACUUGGGUAUGUAUUUAAGUCAAUUAGAAGUCCAAGUCCUGUUUUCAAAGGCAGUAGCGUGUUUAAGAGUUUAAGCCUCUUUAAAAAUCAAUGGUAGUUUCUAGUAGAGG